GUGCAUCUUUGACAGCCCGGGCUCUCUGUUGUGAGAGAACCUGUGUUUUAUUGUUUCAGAUGCAACAGUAAACGUCCCUGCGCUUUCUGCGCGCCUGUUUUCAAUGGUGCCUCAGAUUGAAGAGGGGAAAACAAAC
This is a non-coding RNA of Poecilia formosa (Amazon molly), 136 nucleotides long. NCBI's taxonomy places the organism in Eukaryota, Metazoa, Chordata, Actinopteri, Cyprinodontiformes, Poeciliidae. The record is from Rfam.